GGUUCAGUUCUCCAUGGCUGCAUGGACAGGUACUAUGGUCGACUUGGUUUACAGUGACCUUUAGAAAUUGGGUUUCGACAGUAGUUGGAAACCCAUCUGUAUGGAUCCAUAUGAAGCCUUCUAAGGGGCAUGUGUCUUGUUUUCUGAAGGACGAUAAACCCUACUUUCAUUGAGAAAGGUAUUGGAUCGGUAGAGAGGAUCAACGACAAAGAAAAUGGGAGGGAAAUUAUUUGUUCUUCGGCAGGCCUUCAAUUUCCGAUCGGUUUCAUCUCUGAAAAACAACGUCACUUUGAUUCCACAAGCCAAUCCUCCAGUUCGCAGCACGCCGACCUCAAUCUUCUCUCAGAUUUCAAGAACCUUGUGUUCCUCAUCCUCAGUUUCAUCGGAUACGAGACAACCAUCUCUAGCCAGGCUUCCGUUUGUGGAUGCAUUCUUGGCAAAGGCGAAGAACAAUAAAAGUCUUUUAUCAAACAGGAAGAUUUAUUCGCGUAGAUCUACCAUUUUGCCCGAAUUCGUUGAUCAAACUGUACGGAUUUACAAUGGGAAAAAUUUUGUUCGCUGCAAGAUCACUGAAGGCAAGGUUGGUCAUAAGUUUGGCGAGUUUGCCUUAACUCGUAAAAGAAAACAUUUGAGGAGCAAGGCUGAGCCUGCAAAAAAGAAGGGCAAAAAAUAAGCAUUUGCAACCAAAGAUCACAUCUCAUUUCGCGAAGGUCUCCAUAUCAUUACUUACCAAGCUUUGUGUCUAAGUGAUAUGGAAGACUCGAUCGGCCAUUCGAUUGUAAUGGUUGAUUGGUUGAUUUUGGCUCUUGUCUUUUUUUCCCAGAGAGAGUGGUGAUUCAGGAGAAAUAUGGGCUGAAAGGAAAGCAAUGAAACAAGGAAGAAAAUGGUUUUGAAGUCUCAUUUCUUUUGUUAAAUGAUUGUAGGGUUUUGUUUGGUCAGCUCUUGGCCUGCACAAUUGUUAUGAAAAAUUGAUGUUUUUAGUUAUCCUUACAUAUGGUAUACUGAUCAGAACUCAGAAUUAUCAGUUGACAAACAACGGUUGGGUUUUAGUUUUACAAUAAAAUUGUUGAAUUGAGA
Molecule: RNA transcript, 1077 nt
Organism: Gossypium arboreum
Lineage: Eukaryota; Viridiplantae; Streptophyta; Magnoliopsida; Malvales; Malvaceae
Gene name: ribosomal protein S19, mitochondrial
Exons: 4
Source: RefSeq, a predicted model, not a curated record